Molecule: ribosomal RNA, 442 nt
Filed under: uncultured bacterium
Lineage: Bacteria
Description: partial 16S ribosomal RNA
Rfam family: Bacterial small subunit ribosomal RNA
Source: RNAcentral
CCUACGAGAGGCAGCAGUGGGGGAUAUUGCACAAUGGGGGAAACCCUGAUGCAGCGACGCCGCGUGGGCGAAGAAGUAUUUCGGUAUGUAAAGCCCUAUCAGCAGGGACGAAGAAAUGCCGGUACCUGAGUAAGAAGCACCGGCUAAAUACGUGCCAGCAGCCGCGGUAAUACGUGUGGUGCAAGCGUUAUCCGGAUUUACUGGGUGUAAAGGGAGCGCAGGCGGCACGGCAAGCCCGGUGGGAAAGUCCGCGGACCAACCGCGGGACUGCAGUUGGAACUAUCGGGCUGGAGUGCCGGAGAGGUAGGCGGAAGGCCUGGUGUAGCGGUGAAAUGCAUAGAGAUUAGGAGGAACACCGGUGGCGAAGGCGGCCUACUGGACGGUGACUGACGCUGAGGCACGAAAGCGUGGGGAGCAAACAGGAUUAGAUACCCGGGUAGUC